GGAAGCCAUUCUAGUUGUAGAAUUCUUGCAAUGAGCCUCUGGCUGGGCUGAGUGUUUUAACAAAGCUGGUCACAAGUUGUGACACAAGUUUGUCCAUCGACUUGUUUGUCAACUUGUCUGUCAAACUUGUUUGACAAGUUUGAAGAACUGUGACGAUACGUUUUUGAAGACCGGGUGCAACUCUAGUUUGUGAUUGGUUGGGUUAAAAAAGUUUAUGCUUUUUGAAAAGUUCAAAGCUUUUUUGAAUAAGUUGGGGGGAGUUUGGUAUCACAUUAGUGCCUGGAGUCCUGGAGUGACAGCUUAACACGGACGCAACUCCUAGGAGACAGGAAACGAAGGUGAACCAUAGCUAAUAAUUGGUUGGCGACGCAGAGUAUAAGUCCAGCCAUGUCUGACGAGAAAAAGGACUCAAACGGAGUUGGGCUGCAAAUAGAGGGCCCUGGCAUAAUGCAUAGACGUCCCAUAGAAAUGCCUUGUCUGCCGGCUCCGCUCAGUUUGGAGGAGAAAAAAAUUACUACUAGCUGUUGAGAGAGGCGAUGCUGCUAAUGUCAGAAG
This is a long non-coding RNA of Nilaparvata lugens (brown planthopper), 555 nucleotides long. RefSeq lists it as uncharacterized. The transcript is spliced from 3 exons. Lineage: Eukaryota; Metazoa; Arthropoda; Insecta; Hemiptera; Delphacidae. The record is from RefSeq and is a predicted model, not a curated record.